GAAGUCGGCUGGACAGUCGCUGCCUCUGCCCGAAUCGGGCAGGGCGGAGGAAAGUCCGGGCUCCGAAGGGCAGGGUGCCAGGUAACGCCUGGGAGGUGUGAACCUACGGAAAGUGCCACAGAAAAUAUACCGCCUCGGGUACGGUUUCGGCCCAACCCGCGGUAAGGGUGAAAUGGUGCGGUAAGAGCGCACCGCGCUCCUGGUAACAGGAGUGGCACGGUAAACCCCACCCGGAGCAAGAUCAAAUAGGGGGAUAGGGUUCUUGAGACCGGCGUGUUGCCCGCACGAUCCCCGGGUAGAUUGCUAGAGGCGCACGGUGACGUGCGUCCCAGAUGAAUGACUGUCCAUGACAGAACCCGGCUUAUAGGCCGACUUUUCUU
Molecule: RNase P RNA, 380 nt
Filed under: Methylococcus sp.
Lineage: Bacteria; Pseudomonadati; Pseudomonadota; Gammaproteobacteria; Methylococcales; Methylococcaceae
Description: RNase P RNA component class A
Rfam family: Bacterial RNase P class A
About the family: Ribonuclease P (RNase P) is a ubiquitous endoribonuclease, found in archaea, bacteria and eukarya as well as chloroplasts and mitochondria. Its best characterised activity is the generation of mature 5'-ends of tRNAs by cleaving the 5'-leader elements of precursor-tRNAs.
Source: RNAcentral